Molecule: ribosomal RNA, 468 nt
Filed under: uncultured bacterium
Lineage: Bacteria
Description: partial 16S ribosomal RNA
Rfam family: Bacterial small subunit ribosomal RNA
Source: RNAcentral
GACGAACGCUGGCGGCGUGCUUAACACAUGCAAGUCGAACGGAAAGGCCCUGCUUUUGUGGGGUGCUCGAGUGGCGAACGGGUGAGUAACACGUGAGUAACCUGCCCUUGACUUUGGGAUAACUUCAGGAAACUGGGGCUAAUACCGGAUAGGAGCUCCUGCUGCAUGGUGGGGGUUGGAAAGUUUCGGCGGUUGGGGAUGGACUCGCGGCUUAUCAGCUUGUUGGGGGGGUAGUGGCUUACCAAGGCUUUGACGGGUAGCCGGCCUGAGAGGGUGACCGGCGACAUUGGGACUGAGAUACGGCCCAGACUCCUACGGGAGGCAGCAGUGGGGAAUAUUGCACAAUGGGGGGAAGCCUGAUGCAGCAACGCCGCGUGCGGGAUGACGGCCUUCGGGGUGUAAACCGCUUUCGCCUGUGACGAAGCGUGAGUGACGGUAAUGGGUAAAGAAGCACCGGCUAACUACGUG